CAGUAUAAGAUUCAGGGUUGAAGCUGGCUCUGAAUGAAGAGCAUGUGCUCGCCCUGGUUAUUAUCCAUUUUAUUACACCCUUGUGCACCUUGGAUAAGUUGGCUUUGGUUGACUUGUCUGACUUUAUUAAUGAUGCCUGUCUUAUGCAUGUCUUACCCCUUCAAAGGGGGCGCAUAUAA
RNAcentral lists this unclassified non-coding RNA (179 nucleotides) under uncultured fungus. RNAcentral's name for it is "sequence contains ITS1, 5.8S rRNA gene". Lineage: Eukaryota; Fungi. The record is from RNAcentral.